This 385-nucleotide ribosomal RNA is filed under the name Pseudo-nitzschia fraudulenta. Its description in RNAcentral is "partial Bacterial small subunit ribosomal RNA". It matches the Rfam family "Bacterial small subunit ribosomal RNA", at positions 580 to 964 of the family's 1533-position model. Lineage: Eukaryota; Bacillariophyta; Bacillariophyceae; Bacillariales; Bacillariaceae. The record is from RNAcentral.
UUGUUAAGCUAGAUGUGAAAGCCCCGGGCUCAACCUGGGAUGGUCAUUUAGAACUGGCAGACUAGAGUCUUGGAGAGGGGAGUGGAAUUCCAGGUGUAGCGGUGAAAUGCGUAGAUAUCUGGAGGAACAUCAGUGGCGAAGGCGACUCCCUGGCCAAAGACUGACGCUCAUGUGCGAAAGUGUGGGUAGCGAACAGGAUUAGAUACCCUGGUAGUCCACGCCGUAAACGAUGUCUACUAGCCGUUGGGGAACUUGAUUCUUUAGUGGCGCAGCUAACGCACUAAGUAGACCGCCUGGGGAGUACGGCCGCAAGGUUAAAACUCAAAUGAAUUGACGGGGGCCCGCACAAGCGUUGGAGCAUGUGGUUUAAUUCGAUGAUACGCGA